Molecule: ribosomal RNA, 339 nt
Filed under: uncultured Anaerolineae bacterium
Lineage: Bacteria; Bacillati; Chloroflexota; Anaerolineae
Description: partial 16S ribosomal RNA
Rfam family: Bacterial small subunit ribosomal RNA
Source: RNAcentral
CCUACGGGAGGCAGCAGUGAGGAAUAUUGAGCAAUGGGCGCAAGCCUGACUCAGCAACGCCGCGUGGGCGAUGAAGGCCUUCGGGUUGUAAAGCCCUUUUCUGGGGGACGAGGAAGGACGGUACCCCAGGAAUAAGUCACGGCUAACUACGUGCCAGCAGCCGCGGUAACACGUAGGUGGCGAGCGUUAUCCGGAUUCACUGGGCGUAAAGCGCGUGCAGGCGGUUCCGUAAGUCGGACGUGAAAGCUCCUGGCUUAACUGGGAGAGGCCGUUCGAUACUGCGGGACUUGAGGUCGGGAGAGGGACGUGGAAUUCCCGGUGUAGUGGUGGAAUGCGUAG